RNAcentral lists this non-coding RNA (102 nucleotides) under marine eukaryotic metagenome. RNAcentral describes it as "Glycine riboswitch". It matches the Rfam family "Glycine riboswitch aptamer", at positions 8 to 87 of the family's 94-position model. Rfam says of the family: This family represents the bacterial glycine riboswitch. Glycine riboswitches usually consist of two metabolite-binding aptamers domains with similar structures in tandem. The record is from RNAcentral.
AAAACUGUUGGAGAGCGAUGAAAUCGCAUGAUUUCAUCCACCGAAGGGGCAAGCCCCGGAUCGAAAUCCGGGUGUGAAUCUCUCAGGUUCCAGGACAACAGG